Molecule: unclassified non-coding RNA, 207 nt
Filed under: Hevea brasiliensis (rubber tree)
Lineage: Eukaryota; Viridiplantae; Streptophyta; Magnoliopsida; Malpighiales; Euphorbiaceae
Source: RNAcentral
AUGCUGUUGAGCCAGCAAAAUCUGUAUUUGAGACAAAGGCUAAAAUUCGCCGUGCUACUGAAGCUGCAGGGAUCCCCUACACUUAUGUGCCCUGCAACUUCUUUGCCAGCUUCAUCCUCCCCAUAUUGCUAAAAUCAGGAGGCAGUAAAGUCACUAUCCUAGGAGAUGGCAAUGUCAAAGCAAUUUUUAACAAGGAAGAUGACAUUG